GGUUAAGCGACUAAGCGUACACGGUGGAUGCCCUGGCAGUCAGAGGCGAUGAAGGACGUGCUAAUCUGCGAUAAGCGUCGGUAAGGUGAUAUGAACCGUUAUAACCGGCGAUUUCCGAAUGGGGAAACCCAGUGUGAUUCGUCACACUAUCAUUAACUGAAUCCAUAGGUUAAUGAGGCGAACCGGGGGAACUGAAACAUCUAAGUACCCCGAGGAAAAGAAAUCAACCGAGAUUCCCCCAGUAGCGGCGAGCGAACGGGGAGCAGCCCAGAGCCUGAAUCAGUGUGUGUGUUAGUGGAAGCGUCUGGAAAGGCGCGCGAUACAGGGUGACAGCCCCGUACACAAAAAUGCACAUGCUGUGAGCUCGAUGAGUAGGGCGGGACACGUGGUAUCCUGUCUGAAUAUGGGGGGACCAUCCUCCAAGGCUAAAUACUCCUGACUGACCGAUAGUGAACCAGUACCGUGAGGGAAAGGCGAAAAGAACCCCGGCGAGGGGAGUGAAAAAGAACCUGAAACCGUGUACGUACAAGCAGUGGGAGCACGCUUCGGCGUGUGACUGCGUACCUUUUGUAUAAUGGGUCAGCGACUUAUAUUCUGUAGCAAGGUUAACCGAAUAGGGGAGCCGAAGGGAAACCGAGUCUUAACUGGGCGUUAAGUUGCAGGGUAUAGACCCGAAACCCGGUGAUCUAGCCAUGGGCAGGUUGAAGGUUGGGUAACACUAACUGGAGGACCGAACCGACUAAUGUUGAAAAAUUAGCGGAUGACUUGUGGCUGGGGGUGAAAGGCCAAUCAAACCGGGAGAUAGCUGGUUCUCCCCGAAAGCUAUUUAGGUAGCGCCUCGUGAAUUCAUCUCCGGGGGUAGAGCACUGUUUCGGCAAGGGGGUCAUCCCGACUUACCAACCCGAUGCAAACUGCGAAUACCGGAGAAUGUUAUCACGGGAGACACACGGCGGGUGCUAACGUCCGUCGUGAAGAGGGAAACAACCCAGACCGCCAGCUAAGGUCCCAAAGUCAUGGUUAAGUGGGAAACGAUGUGGGAAGGCCCAGACAGCCAGGAUGUUGGCUUAGAAGCAGCCAUCAUUUAAAGAAAGCGUAAUAGCUCACUGGUCGAGUCGGCCUGCGCGGAAGAUGUAACGGGGCUAAACCAUGCACCGAAGCUGCGGCAGCGACACUAUGUGUUGUUGGGUAGGGGAGCGUUCUGUAAGCCUGUGAAGGUGUACUGUGAGGUAUGCUGGAGGUAUCAGAAGUGCGAAUGCUGACAUAAGUAACGAUAAAGCGGGUGAAAAGCCCGCUCGCCGGAAGACCAAGGGUUCCUGUCCAACGUUAAUCGGGGCAGGGUGAGUCGACCCCUAAGGCGAGGCCGAAAGGCGUAGUCGAUGGGAAACAGGUUAAUAUUCCUGUACUUGGUGUUACUGCGAAGGGGGGACGGAGAAGGCUAUGUUGGCCGGGCGACGGUUGUCCCGGUUUAAGCGUGUAGGCUGGUUUUCCAGGCAAAUCCGGAAAAUCAAGGCUGAGGCGUGAUGACGAGGCACUACGGUGCUGAAGCAACAAAUGCCCUGCUUCCAGGAAAAGCCUCUAAGCAUCAGGUAACAUCAAAUCGUACCCCAAACCGACACAGGUGGUCAGGUAGAGAAUACCAAGGCGCUUGAGAGAACUCGGGUGAAGGAACUAGGCAAAAUGGUGCCGUAACUUCGGGAGAAGGCACGCUGAUAUGUAGGUGAAGUCCCUCGCGGAUGGAGCUGAAAUCAGUCGAAGAUACCAGCUGGCUGCAACUGUUUAUUAAAAACACAGCACUGUGCAAACACGAAAGUGGACGUAUACGGUGUGACGCCUGCCCGGUGCCGGAAGGUUAAUUGAUGGGGUUAGCGCAAGCGAAGCUCUUGAUCGAAGCCCCGGUAAACGGCGGCCGUAACUAUAACGGUCCUAAGGUAGCGAAAUUCCUUGUCGGGUAAGUUCCGACCUGCACGAAUGGCGUAAUGAUGGCCAGGCUGUCUCCACCCGAGACUCAGUGAAAUUGAACUCGCUGUGAAGAUGCAGUGUACCCGCGGCAAGACGGAAAGACCCCGUGAACCUUUACUAUAGCUUGACACUGAACAUUGAGCCUUGAUGUGUAGGAUAGGUGGGAGGCUUUGAAGUGUGGACGCCAGUCUGCAUGGAGCCGACCUUGAAAUACCACCCUUUAAUGUUUGAUGUUCUAACGUUGGCCCGUGAUCCGGGUUGCGGACAGUGUCUGGUGGGUAGUUUGACUGGGGCGGUCUCCUCCUAAAGAGUAACGGAGGAGCACGAAGGUUGGCUAAUCCUGGUCGGACAUCAGGAGGUUAGUGCAAUGGCAUAAGCCAGCUUGACUGCGAGCGUGACGGCGCGAGCAGGUGCGAAAGCAGGUCAUAGUGAUCCGGUGGUUCUGAAUGGAAGGGCCAUCGCUCAACGGAUAAAAGGUACUCCGGGGAUAACAGGCUGAUACCGCCCAAGAGUUCAUAUCGACGGCGGUGUUUGGCACCUCGAUGUCGGCUCAUCACAUCCUGGGGCUGAAGUAGGUCCCAAGGGUAUGGCUGUUCGCCAUUUAAAGUGGUACGCGAGCUGGGUUUAGAACGUCGUGAGACAGUUCGGUCCCUAUCUGCCGUGGGCGCUGGAGAACUGAGGGGGGCUGCUCCUAGUACGAGAGGACCGGAGUGGACGCAUCACUGGUGUUCGGGUUGUCAUGCCAAUGGCACUGCCCGGUAGCUAAAUGCGGAAGAGAUAAGUGCUGAAAGCAUCUAAGCACGAAACUUGCCCCGAGAUGAGUUCUCCCUGACUCCCUGAGAGUCCUGAAGGAACGUUGAAGACGACGACGUUGAUAGGCCGGGUGUGUAAGCGCAGCGAUGCGUUGAGCUAACCGGUACUAAUGAA
Molecule: ribosomal RNA, 2886 nt
Filed under: Escherichia coli
Lineage: Bacteria; Pseudomonadati; Pseudomonadota; Gammaproteobacteria; Enterobacterales; Enterobacteriaceae
Description: partial 23S ribosomal RNA
Rfam family: Bacterial large subunit ribosomal RNA
Source: RNAcentral